AGAGUUUGUGCUUUCUUCUGCAUAAAAUUGGAACGAUGCAGAGAGAUUAGCAUGGUCCUGCAUAAGGAUGACAGGCAAGUUCAUGGAGAGAAGAAUUUAAUAUUG
Small nuclear RNA from Ailuropoda melanoleuca (giant panda), 105 nucleotides. Lineage: Eukaryota; Metazoa; Chordata; Mammalia; Carnivora; Ursidae. The record is from Ensembl.